GUGAAGAAUACUGAUACACCAAACUGAAGGAGAAGUGAACACCAGACACACACCUGAUGACAUUGCCGAGGGUGGUGAGGCUCAGGUUGAUGGCCGUGCCCUCUUUGAGUCUGUCGGCCUCCGACCCCGACGACCUCUGACGCUCACUGCCAGCCAGGUCCACCAGGUUGAUGUUGGACUGCUUUGUGAUGCUCUCUUUGGAGAAGAUCUGACAGGAAGUCACAGUAACAUCAAGGACAAAUGCCCGAAGAGUAUGGAAUUAGAUUUGUGCCAAAAGAAACAAACAAAACUUCUUAAAUGUCAAACAAAAACAGGAAUUUGAAAGAACAUAAAACUCAUUUCAAAAAUAAAGCUUAGAACUUGCAAUCAAAUAAUUUGUCAAAUAGUGUAAAAUAUUGGUGUUUUACUCUUCUAAUAAUGCAUUAUUUUGUUUAAAUCUAAUUCCGUAGAAGAGACCUGAGGACGGUCACCUGACAGAGAAAAACUGUGUCAAUGUCAUCCGCAGUGAUUUUUUUUUUUUUUUUACCUGUUUGAGCUGGAGGAUGAUGAGCAUGUGAGAGCGACUGCUGUUGGCGUUCAUGUGAGUGGCGGCAGUGGUUCGAGUCCUGGUCCCCUGCUCCAUCAGCUGCUCCACCUACAUUUGAAGCUUCACACUUUAACUUCAUUCCUCCAAACACAACACGGAAAAACACUUACACAGGAUACAGAAAUAUCACCAAACAUCCCUUGUAGCUAUUUUAUACAGAAGCCCUGAGAGGUCAGAAAAAGUACUCUGGUGUUCUAUUUUCAAUGUUUCUACUUUGAAAAAAAAAUGUUUGGUAGGUGAAUAUAAAAUAAAAAAACUGGUACGACAUUUUUUUCUUUUUUUUCCAUUUUCUGCAGGUAAAAAAAAAGGUUUUUUACUUGUGUAAUACUCGUUCUGGCCACAAGAGGGGGAAGUGCCUGACCACCACAUGUUCUACAUGGGAUUAAAAGCAUUUAUGUUUCCUUCCAGGGUUCACAAUGUUCUGUUGGACCUAAUGAAAUCUUUGGCCCUUGACCUGGUCAGCGUAUCGUCCCCCGGGCUCUUCAGGCACGAAGAGGCCACAGCGGUCCUGUGCGAAGCCGCUGUGGGACCAGUAGGCGUAGUCGAAGCAGAACGAGCGGCGGCUGUGGGAGUCCCGUGGGUCCUGGAUGGUGAUGGAGCUCGACACCAUGGAGACAAUACAGCGGCUGCCUGCAUCCCUCUCUCGCUGGAUGUGAGGACGGAGAGAACGAGGAUGAGAAGGGGGGAAUAAAAGAGAGGGAGCUACGUGAGGGUGCAAGUCUUCAUAACCACAUUUGUUAAAGUAAAAUGAGAGGAAGUGAAAGUCAGACUGUUUAAUUCCUCUUUAGAAGCACAGAGAGACUGACAGGAAUAUCUCAACAGCAGGG
RNAcentral lists this long non-coding RNA (1413 nucleotides) under Sparus aurata (gilthead seabream). RNAcentral describes it as "lncRNA (ENSSAUG00010008291.1)". Lineage: Eukaryota; Metazoa; Chordata; Actinopteri; Spariformes; Sparidae. The record is from RNAcentral.